Molecule: transfer RNA, 64 nt
Filed under: Chrysomeloidea sp. 7 KM-2017
Lineage: Eukaryota; Metazoa; Arthropoda; Insecta; Coleoptera
Description: tRNA-Glu
Source: RNAcentral
GUUUAUAUAGUUUAAGAAAAACAUUACAUUUUCAUUGUAAAAUUAAAUAAUUUUUUUGUAAAUA